GAUGAACGCUGGCGGCGUGCUUAACACAUGCCAGUCGAACGAUAAAGCCCAGCUUGCUGGGUGGAUUAGUGGCGAACGGGUGAGUAACACGUGAGUAACCUGCCCUUGACUCUGGGAUAAGCGCUGGAAACGGCGGCUAAUACCGGAUACGAGCGUUCACCCCACGUGGAGGUGCUGGGAAGAAUUGCGGUCAAGGAUGGACUCGCGGCGUAUCAGGUAGUUGGUGGGGGAGCGGCUCACCAAGCCGCCGACGGGUAGCCGGCCUGAGAGGGUGACCGGCCACACUGGGACUGAGACACGGCCCAGACUCCUACGGGAGGCAGCAGUGGGGAAUAUUGCACAAUGGGCGCAAGCCUGAUGCAGCAACGCCGCGUGAGGGACGAAGGCCUUCGGGUCGUAAACCUCUUUUAGCAGUGACGAAGCGAAAGUGACGGUACCUGCAGAAGAAGCACCGGCUAACUACGUG
This 466-nucleotide ribosomal RNA is filed under the name uncultured bacterium. Its description in RNAcentral is "partial 16S ribosomal RNA". It matches the Rfam family "Bacterial small subunit ribosomal RNA", at positions 28 to 507 of the family's 1533-position model. The record is from RNAcentral.